AUUGAACGCUGGCGGCAUGCCUUACACAUGCAAGUCGAACGGUAACAGGUCUUCGGAUGCUGACGAGUGGCGAACGGGUGAGUAAUACAUCGGAACGUGCCUAGUAGUGGGGGACAACUACUCGAAAGAGUGGCUAAUACCGCAUGAGAUCUACGGAUGAAAGCAGGGGAUCGCAAGACCUUGUGCUACUAGAGCGGCCGAUGGCAGAUUAGGUAGUUGGUGGGAUAAAAGCUUACCAAGCCGACGAUCUGAAGCCGGUCUGAGAGGACGAUCAGCCACACUGGGACUGAGACACGGCCCAGACUCCUACGGGAGGCAGCAGUGGGGAAUUUUGGACAAUGGGCGAAAGCCUGAUCCAGCAAUGCCGCGUGCAGGAUGAAGGCCUUCGGGUUGUAAACUGCUUUUGUACGGAACGAAAAGCCCCGGGUUAAUACCCUGGGGUCAUGACGGUACCGUAAGAAUAAGCACCGGCUAACUACGUGCCAGCCGCCGCCGUAA
This 498-nucleotide ribosomal RNA is filed under the name uncultured bacterium. RNAcentral describes it as "partial 16S ribosomal RNA". It matches the Rfam family "Bacterial small subunit ribosomal RNA", at positions 30 to 523 of the family's 1533-position model. The record is from RNAcentral.